GUGAGAUAGCAUAAUUGGUAAUGCGGUUGCCUUUUAAGCAGCAGAUGAGGUUCGAAUCCUUAAUCACACC
RNAcentral lists this transfer RNA (70 nucleotides) under Flavobacterium sp. UMI-01. RNAcentral describes it as "tRNA-Lys". It matches the Rfam family "tRNA". Rfam says of the family: Transfer RNA (tRNA) molecules are approximately 80 nucleotides in length. Their secondary structure includes four short double-helical elements and three loops (D, anti-codon, and T loops). The record is from RNAcentral. Lineage: Bacteria; Pseudomonadati; Bacteroidota; Flavobacteriia; Flavobacteriales; Flavobacteriaceae.